UGGUGCAACAACUUUGAUCUUCAUGCUGCUGGGAGCAAGAGCAGUAAUUUCCUUGCUCAUACGAUCUGCAAUACCAGGGAACAUUGUUGAACCACCACUGAGCACUAUGUUUCCAUACAGAUCCUUCCUGAUAUCGACAUCACACUUCAUGAUGGAGUUAUAAGUAGUUUCAUGAAUUCCUGCAGCUUCCAUCCCGAUCAGAGAUGGCUGGAACAGGACUUCUGGGCAACGGAAUCUCUCAGCUCCAAUGGUAAUGACUUGUCCAUCAGGCAAUUCAUAGUUCUUUUCCACAGAGGAGCUACUCUUUGAAGUUUCAAGCUCUUGCUCGUAGUCCAGAGCAACAUAGGCAAGUUUCUCCUUCAUGUCACGGACAAUUUCCCGCUCAGCAGUGGUGGUGAACAUGUAACCUCUCUCUGUUAAGAUCUUCAUGAGAGAAUCAGUAAGAUCACGACCAGCAAGGUCAAGACGGAGAAUGGCAUGGGGAAGGGCAUAUCCUUCAUAGAUGGGUACAGUAUGGCUCACACCGUCACCAGAAUCCAACACAAUACCUAUUGCAUAAAAAACAUAUUAAAAUGAAGGUUCAAGAAAUUAUAUCAAAUAGCAGAAGAUAGUUGCUCUUAGGGACAAAUACGAACCAGUAGUACGCCCACUGGCAUAUAGCGAAAGAACAGCCUGGAUAGCAACAUACAUUGCAGGAACAUUAAAGGUCUCAAACAUGAUCUGUGUCAUCUUCUCCCUGUUGGCCUUAGGAUUGAGAGGUGCCUCAGUUAAAAGAACAGGGUGCUCCUCAGGGGCAACACGGAGCUCAUUGUAAAAAG
This 818-nucleotide long non-coding RNA is filed under the name Daucus carota (carrot). RNAcentral's name for it is "long non-coding RNA (DCAR_LNC000265)". The record is from RNAcentral. Lineage: Eukaryota; Viridiplantae; Streptophyta; Magnoliopsida; Apiales; Apiaceae.